This 278-nucleotide non-coding RNA is filed under the name Neobacillus bataviensis. RNAcentral's name for it is "Bacillus bataviensis T-box sequence". It matches the Rfam family "T-box leader". From Rfam's summary of the family: Uncharged tRNA acts as the effector for transcription antitermination of genes in the T-box leader family. T-boxes are found upstream of many aminoacyl-tRNA synthetase genes and some amino acid biosynthetic genes usually in Gram-positive bacteria. Lineage: Bacteria; Bacillati; Bacillota; Bacilli; Caryophanales; Bacillaceae. The record is from RNAcentral.
UAAAAAGCAAUGAAGAGGGAAAGUACGAUUACGUUAUUUUUCACAGAGAGCUUCGGGAGCUGAAAAGAAGCAAAAAUACGAAUCCGAACAAUGGCCUCAGAGCUUCGUGCUGAAACAAUCGUAGCUGGAUUGGAGUAGGUUCCGACGAGAUUUGGUGCUCGUUAUCCACACCACAGUAUGAAGAGCAGCAUAUACGCUCUCGUACUUGCAGAGGCUGUUUUGUGUGAGCAAACAGUAAAUUAAGGUGGUACCACGCGGCGAACAACCACGUCCUUAUC